This 753-nucleotide ribosomal RNA is filed under the name Triticum aestivum (bread wheat). Its description in RNAcentral is "partial small subunit ribosomal RNA". The record is from RNAcentral. Lineage: Eukaryota; Viridiplantae; Streptophyta; Magnoliopsida; Poales; Poaceae.
AUGCAUCUUCUUGCUCCAGCAUUCAAGUUCCAUUUCAAGGGAGGACGACAUACCAUCAUACUUUCUGUUUUGUCGAGCCCUGCUUUGGUCUCUGGUUUGAUGGUUGUACGUGCUAAAAAUCCGGUACAUUCUGUUUUGUUUCCCAUCCUAGUCUUUUGCGACACUUCUGGUUUACUUAUUUUUUUAGGUCUUGACUUCUCCACUAUGAUCUCCCCAGUAGUUCAUAUAGGAGCUAUUGUCAUUUCAUUCCUAUUCGUGGUUAUGAUGUUCAAUAUUCAAAUAGCGGAGAUUCACGAAGAAGUAUUGCGCUAUUUACCAGUGACUGGUAUUAUUGGACUGAUCUUUUGGUGGGAAAUGUUCUUCAUUUUAGAUAAUGAAACCAUUCCAUUACUACCAACCCACAGAAAUACGACCUCUCUGAGAUAUACGGUUUAUGCCGGAAAGGUACGAAGUUGGACUAAUUUGGAAACAUUGGGCAAUUUGCUUUAUACCUACUAUUCCGUCUGGUUUUUGGUUUCUAGUCUGAUUUUAUUAGUAGCUAUGAUUGGGGCUAUAGUACUUACUAUGCAUAGGACUACAAGGGUGAAAAGACAGGAUGUAUUCCGACGAAAUGCCUUGGAUUCUAGGAGGAAUAUAAUGAACAGGACUAUUUCUCCUUUUGGCCAUAGCCAUAGAAGAAGCUUCUCCUCCAAAGCGGACGGAGGGGAAUCUCAGGAUUCCUAUAACCCUGCUUAUAUAGAUUUUUUAAGAUAA